This 1481-nucleotide long non-coding RNA is filed under the name Salmo salar (Atlantic salmon). Its description in RNAcentral is "lncRNA (ENSSSAG00000099219.1)". Lineage: Eukaryota; Metazoa; Chordata; Actinopteri; Salmoniformes; Salmonidae. The record is from RNAcentral.
UCUGUAUCCUUGUAAUGACUGUGGGAAGAGAUUCACAACAUCAAGGUCUCUGACAGUUCAUCAGAGAAUACACACAGGAGAGAAGCCUUACUCCUGCUCUGACUGUUGGAAGAGUUUCUCUCGACAGGGAAACUUAAAAAGACAUGAACGUAUACACACAGGAGAGAAGCCUUACUCCUGCUCUGAUUGUGUAAAAUGCUUUACAACAUCAACUGACCUAAAAGUUCACCAGAGAACACACACGGGAGAGAAGCCUUACUCCUGCUCUGACUGUGGAAAGAGUUUCUCUCGACUGGCCCAGUUAAAAAGACACCAAGCUCCUCUGUCAGAAACAACUUGAAGCACUCUGCCUCAGAUGGAAAUGGACUCCAGACUGGGACUCAUCAAAACAAACAGCAGGGCCAGGAGGGGUGAAAUGACUAGCGGCCUUCCAGCUACCACAGAACUCCUGUACUUCAUCCACUGUCGGUCUCCCUCCAUCACCACCAGCAUCUUCAAAGGGACCUGGUACUUGGUCAGUGGACAAGGGAACCUCAGAUUCAGGGUUCUCAAUGGCUACAAGGUUGGGGGGGGGGGGCAGCUCCUCACUGUCAGAAUCUGAUUCCUGACUUUCAGACUCAGACUCAUUGUCAGAAUUGUAAAAAAAAUCUCCAGAAUUUCCACAUUUGUGAGUUGUCUCCUUUUGAAAGACAUUGCUAAUGCUACAGCUUAGCUCACUAGCUACAUACAUAAACAACAACACUGAAUGGCUCAGAGUGAGAGGGGACGUGAUUGACUGCCGGCGUGCGUCACUUGUAUCAAUAAAUCACCAUCAGAAAAUGUUUUGUGAGGUAAUUAUUUGUGUAUUUACUGUUUUAUUCACAUGUUUUCAGUUCUGGGUGACAAAUCAUGCAUUCCGAUUCUUGCAUAGAUUGUAAUGGGCACAUAUUAUGUGUGUAAAAUACUUAUUUGAAGGUUAUACUGAUUAUGAUGAGCUAUGUGUAUGGAGCCAUGUUUGUUGACAUACAAUGCAUUCUGGGUUUCACGUAAUCAUCCGUUUGACCAAAGAUGUUAUAACAAAAUGAGGUGAGUAAGAGUUCACUCAUUUUUUGAGGACUUCUGGAAAUGAAUGGUGGGAUGUGAACGACGGUAGAUGACACACCCCUUCAACACUAUAAACAGACCGAACUCAUCUUGUCUUUUAUUAUCUUCGGUUUCUGUGAGGGAAAAAUGCAUGGCUGCGCGCUGAAACUAAUCGUCGGAUUACUGUCGAUUUAUAGGAAGUGUUUUACCUAAUUAUUUCGAUCAAUGGUGAGCUCACCCCGUGAUGUGAUUAAUUAUACAUAGUAAUUGCAAUUAGCUAAUUCAUAUUGUAGUUUACAUCAGCCGAGAGUUAGAAAAUAUGACUGCUUGUGUUGGGUCAAUCUUUCUUCAGUUAGCGCUACGACAAAUGUAGCCUACAUUUUUUCCGGUUAGGAUGAUUGUGUUGUGCUAUAUAUAUA